GACUGCGGAGGAUCAUUACCGUGGGGCUUCGGCCCCGUCGUGAUAGAACCCUUGCCUUUUUGAGUACCGUCCGUUUCCUCGGCAGGCUCGCCUGCCAAUGGGGACCCAAAACCAAACUCUUUUUAUCAUCUGUACCAGUCUGAAAAACAAACAAAAGUUAAAACUUUCAACAACGGAUCUCUUGGUUCUGGCAUCGAUGAAGAACGCAGCGAAAUGCGAUAAGUAAUGUGAAUUGCAGAAUUCAGUGAAUCAUCGAAUCUUUGAACGCACAUUGCGCCCUCUGGUAUUCCGGGGGGCAUGCCUGUUCGAGCGUCAUUACAACCCUCAAGCUUUGCUUGGUAUUGGACAUUGCCAGUUUCUGGCAGGUCUUAAAAUCAGUGGCGGUGCCAUUUGGCUUCAAGCGUAGUAAUUCUUCUCGCUUUGGAGAUCCAAGUGGUUACUUGCCAAUAACCCCCAAUUUUUUCAGGUUGACCUCGGAUCAGGUAGGGAUACCCGCUGAACCUAAGCAUAUCAAUAAGCGGAGGA
RNAcentral lists this ribosomal RNA (525 nucleotides) under uncultured Thelebolales. RNAcentral's name for it is "eukaryotic LSU rRNA". The stretch from base 162 to 315 matches the Rfam family "5.8S ribosomal RNA". Lineage: Eukaryota; Fungi; Ascomycota; Leotiomycetes; Thelebolales. The record is from RNAcentral.